CUUUUUGUCCUGUGACUUUCUGUCCUACAUUCUAUUAUGGUACGGUUACCAAUGAGGCUACCAUCUACCGGAGACUCCAGACUGUGCUUUUACUAAGUCUUAUAUUUACAGUGUAAUGCUAUUGUGGAAUUUACAUAUGGCUUCUAUAAAUAUACUUUCGAAAUAUUUGAUUGUUUAGCCAUGUAACUCAGUCAUGGUUCAUUGACUUUGAAUGUUUGCAUAACUUGUGUAAAAUGUUAAGGUAUUGCUAUUUUGAUUUCAACAUUUGCAUAAUCAAAAUAACAAAAAGGCGAGACAUAUCUCUGUGAUAACAGUUUAUGUCAAUAGUCAGGCCGUUGUUUUUUUUUUUAUUAUUAAAUCAUUUAUAUUGUGUCAUGGCGGAGCUUUUUAAAACUGGUAUGGGGUUUUCUUAAUAUUGAAGCUCGUUCUGUUGCCUAUGUCUGCUUAAUGCAUCAACUGCAUUUGAACUUUGGUAGAUAGUUCUCUCAUUGGCAAUCAUACCACAUCUCAUUAUUCAUUCUUAAAAUAAAAUGGAAAAUGUUAAAACAUACAUGUAUCAAUAAAAC
RNAcentral lists this long non-coding RNA (566 nucleotides) under Mytilus galloprovincialis (Mediterranean mussel). Lineage: Eukaryota; Metazoa; Mollusca; Bivalvia; Mytilida; Mytilidae. The record is from RNAcentral.